GCGGUGGAGCAUGUGGUUAAUUCGAAGCAACGCGUAAGAACCUUACCUGGUCUUGACAUCCCGGAGACCUUAGGAACUAGGGGGUGCCUUCCAUCUGGAAGAAUCUGGAGACAGGUGCUGCAUGGCUGUCGUCAGCUCGUGUCGUGAGAUGUUGGGUUAAGUCCCGCAACGAGCGCAACCCUUGCCUUUAGUGCCAGCAGUUCGGCUGGGCACUCUAAAGGGACUGCCGGUGUUAAACCGGAGGAAGGUGGGGAUGACGUCAAGUCCUCAUGGCCUUUAUGACCAGGGCUACACACGUACUACAAUGGCCGAUACAAAGGGCAGCGACACUGCGAGGUGAAGCCAAUCCCGUAAAAUCGGUCUCAGUCCGGAUUGGAGUCUGCAACUCGACUCCAUGAAGUUGGAAUCGCUAGUAAUCGUGGAUCAGCAUGCCACGGUGAAUACGUUCCCGGGCCUU
RNAcentral lists this ribosomal RNA (457 nucleotides) under uncultured Desulfobulbus sp. RNAcentral describes it as "bacterial SSU rRNA". It matches the Rfam family "Bacterial small subunit ribosomal RNA", at positions 929 to 1382 of the family's 1533-position model. Lineage: Bacteria; Pseudomonadati; Thermodesulfobacteriota; Desulfobulbia; Desulfobulbales; Desulfobulbaceae. The record is from RNAcentral.